CUAGGCUCUAGUCGGGAGAGCCCAAAGCGCAGAAGUCGGAGGUCGCUGUGGCUGUAGCGGGGGGGGGGGUCACCCCUCCACCUGACCACAAGAGGCCCAUAGGCAACAGCCAUGGUACCCAUCUAGAAUAGCCUGAUCCUGAGCCCCACUUCCACAAGCUUGGCAGCAGCUAUGUGGCUCAACCAGAUAGCACAGAAGAUCUGAAGACCCAAGGCCCAGCAAGCCAAGAAAUUAAUAGAAUCUUUGAAUAUCUGGUACCGGAAGAUAAUGAAACUAGUGAUUUGGAGCAGUAGAAGAACUCACGGGAUGAAGUUUCACAUUUGGCUGCUCCAGGCGGUUCAAGUCUGCUUUGCUUCAAAAUACAGACUCACUCUCACCUUCAUGACAAUGCUGUGG
Molecule: long non-coding RNA, 396 nt
Organism: Prionailurus viverrinus (fishing cat)
Lineage: Eukaryota; Metazoa; Chordata; Mammalia; Carnivora; Felidae
Exons: 4
Source: RefSeq, a predicted model, not a curated record